AUUGGAGCUGCGUGUCGCUACACAAUUGUUAUUCAGCAGUGUGAAAAGCAGGGGAUUGAGCACACAGUCCUGGGGGCCUAAUGCUCAGUGUGGUGGAGCUGGAGGUGCGGUUCCCAGUGCGCACUGACUGAGGACAGAAAGUUCUGGUCAGAAAGUCCAGGGUUCAGUGGCAGAGGGAGGUGUUCAGGCCCAACAGGCUCAGCUUACUGAUCAGGCGUUGGGGGAUGAUGGUGUUGAAUGCUGAAUUGAAAUCAAUACAGAGGAUUCAAACGUAUUCAGACGGCGAUAGAAACAGGGACGCCGACGUCAGUGAAGAGUCCAAGGCUGCAGACAGAUUUAUUUCUGUGAUGACUGCACAACAUGCAGGUUUACACACACCGUGGACGUUCUGUCCAUAUGGAAGUGAUGGAGACAAUCUGAUCAAAGGGCUCGUCACAGAUUGAUGAUGAAUGAUUCGCAUUGUUGAGGCUGGAACCGCUCCGUUGGUGCUCAGGACCGGCACAGAAGUCACCGGUUUGCAUCUCCUGCAGAUGGGUUUGAACCUUGGCAUCAGCAGCAAAAAACUCUGCAACUGCACCAAAUGGCGGCCUGCGUCACAUUGCUACUGAUACUGUAAAUAACCCACGGAAAAUGAUUGUGGUGUUACAGUAAGAAGCACUGUUAAUAAAGUUCUA
Molecule: long non-coding RNA, 674 nt
Organism: Betta splendens (Siamese fighting fish)
Lineage: Eukaryota; Metazoa; Chordata; Actinopteri; Anabantiformes; Osphronemidae
Exons: 3
Source: RefSeq, a predicted model, not a curated record